CCUACGGGAGGCAGCAGUGAGGAAUAUUGGUCAAUGGGCGCGAGCCUGAACCAGCCAAGUCGCGUGAGGGAAGACGGUCCUAUGGAUUGUAAACCUCUUUUGUCGGGGAGCAAAAGACGCCACGCGUGGCGUUCCGAGAGUACCCGAAGAAAAAGCAUCGGCUAACUCCGUGCCAGCCGCCGCGGUAAUACGGAGGAUGCGAGCGUUCUCCGGAUUUAUUGGGUUUAAAGGGUGCGCAGGCGGAAGAUCAAGUCAGCGGUAAAAUUGAGAGGCUCAACCUCUUCGAGCCGUUGAAACUGGUUUUCUUGAGUGAGUGAGAAGUAUGCGGAAUGCGUGGUGUAGCGGUGAAAUGCAUAGAUAUCACGCAGAACUCCGAUUGCGAAGGCAGCAUACCGGCGCUCAACUGACGCUCAUGCACGAAAGUGUGGGUAUCGAACAGGAUUAGAUACCCUAGUAGUC
Molecule: ribosomal RNA, 459 nt
Filed under: uncultured bacterium
Lineage: Bacteria
Description: partial 16S ribosomal RNA
Rfam family: Bacterial small subunit ribosomal RNA
Source: RNAcentral